GAAAUGCGAUAAGUAAUGUGAAUUGCAGAAUUCAGUGAAUCAUCGAAUCUUUGAACGCACAUUGCGCCCGCUAGUAUUCUGGCGGGCAUGCCUGUUCGAGCGUCAUUUCAACCAUCAAGCCCUAGGCUUGUGUUGGGGGCCUGCAGCCGCUGCAGCCCACUAAAAGCAGUGGCGGGCUCGCUGUCAUUCCGAGCGCAGUAGUUACAUCUCGCUCUGGGCGUGGCCGCGGGCACUUGCCGUAAAACACUCUUUCUAAGGUUGACCUCGGAUCAGGUAGGAAUACCCGCUGAACUUAAGC
RNAcentral lists this unclassified non-coding RNA (298 nucleotides) under plant metagenome. Its description in RNAcentral is "partial contains 5.8S ribosomal RNA, internal transcribed spacer 2, and large subunit ribosomal RNA". The stretch from base 1 to 105 matches the Rfam family "5.8S ribosomal RNA", at positions 50 to 154 of the family's 154-position model. The record is from RNAcentral.